GAACGAGAUUUUAAAUAGACACGACUAAGUAUGUAGAACGCUCUGUAGAGGACUUUCGGACGGGGGUUCAAUUCCCCCCGCCUCCACCA
Molecule: transfer-messenger RNA, 89 nt
Filed under: Neisseria sp.
Lineage: Bacteria; Pseudomonadati; Pseudomonadota; Betaproteobacteria; Neisseriales; Neisseriaceae
Description: partial transfer-messenger RNA
Rfam family: transfer-messenger RNA
About the family: Bacterial tmRNA, also known as 10Sa RNA or SsrA, is named for its dual tRNA and mRNA-like properties. Its role is to liberate the mRNA from a stalled ribosome.
Source: RNAcentral